AAGUUGGCUGGGUGCGCGCCGGCUCGGGCUGCAGUUCCCGGGUCCCUCGGCCACCGAAGCCGCCCUGCCCUGAUGAAAGGGCUCCCGCACCGCCCGGUGCUCACCAUCUGCCUGGCGUUGUGCGCAGAGCUGGAAAGCAGCUGUUAUAAAUGAAUUCUGAUUUUGGGGAGCAGAUGCCAACUUAGAGCCUCGUACCAAUCUCUCUGUCUUUAAAAGGUGAGGUGACUUAGUGAUUUUCCUGGAAAAUUAUAGAGGUGGACACUGAGGUGGACACUGCGGGUUGUGAGGUUCAGGAGGGGUAGGUGGCUGGCACAAGGUCACAGAGCAGCGCUGCCAUUUGGCUACUUCCCAAUUCAGCAUAGCUGCCGUCUCUGCCGGUGGUAUUCUCAGCAUGCAAGGUGAAAUACUCACCAAGGAAGCAGGGGCUAACUCCUCACAGAGCCCUCACGGUUUCCUGUUUCCUGACAAAAAGGGAAGCUGGAGGACUGUAGUUUUGCAUCCUAUCCUGCCCUGAGCCCCAUUUCGGGCUGUCAGCCAGCCUUGUCUCCAGCCUGCUCACCACUCACUGAUGCUUUUUGCA
This 580-nucleotide small RNA is filed under the name Pongo abelii (Sumatran orangutan). Its description in RNAcentral is "processed transcript". The record is from RNAcentral. Lineage: Eukaryota; Metazoa; Chordata; Mammalia; Primates; Hominidae.